RNAcentral lists this ribosomal RNA (486 nucleotides) under uncultured bacterium. RNAcentral's name for it is "bacterial SSU rRNA". It matches the Rfam family "Bacterial small subunit ribosomal RNA", at positions 30 to 507 of the family's 1533-position model. The record is from RNAcentral.
AUUGAACGCUGGCGGCAUGCCUUACACAUGCAAGUCGAACGGCAGCACGGGUGCUUGCACCUGGUGGCGAGUGGCGAACGGGUGAGUAAUGCAUCGGAACGUACCCCGUAGCGGGGGAUAACCAACCGAAAGGUUGGCUAAUACCGCAUACGCUCUACGGAGGAGAGCAGGGGAUCGCAAGACCUUGCACUAUGGGAGCGGCCGAUGUUCGAUUAGCUUGUUGGUGAGGUAAAGGCUCACCAAGGCGACGAUCGAUAGCUGGUUUGAGAGAACGACCAGCCACACUGGGACUGAGACACGGCCCAGACUCCUACGGGAGGCAGCAGUGGGGAAUUUUGGACAAUGGGCGCAAGCCUGAUCCAGCAAUGCCGCGUGCGGGACGAAGGCCUUCGGGUUGUAAACCGCUUUUAGCAGGAACGAAACGGUGCGGGCUAAUACCCUGCGCUAAUGACGGUACCUGCAGAAUAAGCACCGGCUAACUACGUG